GGGGCCAUAGCUCAGUUGGGAGAGCGCUUGAAUGGCAUUCAAGAGGUCGUCGGUUCGAUUCCGUCUGGCUCCACCA
This 76-nucleotide transfer RNA is filed under the name Magnetospirillum fulvum. RNAcentral's name for it is "Phaeospirillum fulvum tRNA_Ala_GGC". It matches the Rfam family "tRNA". Rfam says of the family: Transfer RNA (tRNA) molecules are approximately 80 nucleotides in length. Their secondary structure includes four short double-helical elements and three loops (D, anti-codon, and T loops). Further hydrogen bonds mediate the characteristic L-shaped molecular structure. tRNAs have two regions of fundamental functional importance: the anti-codon, which is responsible for specific mRNA codon recognition, and the 3' end, to which the tRNAs corresponding amino acid is attached (by aminoacyl-tRNA synthetases). tRNAs cope with the degeneracy of the genetic code in two manners: having more than one tRNA (with a specific anti-codon) for a particular amino acid; and 'wobble' base-pairing, i.e. permitting non-standard base-pairing at the 3rd anti-codon position. Lineage: Bacteria; Pseudomonadati; Pseudomonadota; Alphaproteobacteria; Rhodospirillales; Rhodospirillaceae. The record is from RNAcentral. RNAcentral also lists the same sequence under 20 other names.